AUUGGACGCGACGUGUGCAGUACAUUACACACUUUGUUAUUUCGGUCGCUGGGGAAGCAGUUGGAAAAAUUGUGCAUUAAAUGUCAUAUUGACAUAUCAAUAUAUUGGAUUUUUUCCCCCGCAUCCGGGACCCGUGGGGCGGCUGCCGUUUCGGCUGAAUUUCAAUUCAGUUGCACGAGGAAAUUUGUUCGUAAUGCAAUAUUUUAUUUUUCACGGAUAUAGUGUUUUAUUGGAUUGUAAAUUUGAGUGAGUAAAUUUCAGGCCGCUUCUGGUCGUGGCGCUAACGAAACAAAACCAGAGCCGUAUCCGGAGCAUAAAUUAAGGUCUCACUUCCGUUCGCCAUCCAUUAUUACAAUCGGAUCGUUGGUCGUGCGGAACCAGUAGUUGGGUUCGGGUGGCCAAUCACACAAAACAAUUGAGUAAGUGUCCUUUGUCGGAACGGUAACAGGAAGGGCGAUCCCAGUGCGAGAGCCAAUUUCAUGGGUACAACAUAAAUUAACGGUUCGAUUCGGUUUCAUUGUUUUGCCCUUCGCUUGCAGUAGCAGAGAAAUUAAGAUAAUUUCAUUUUUGGCACCCCAUUAAACAAACGGACGGCAAAAUGAUGGAACAUGGGAUUAUAACUAAGUACACCGAUGUCCGGGUGAAAAUUUCCGGCUGGAACGAGCGAGUGCAGCAGUAUCCGAAGGAUUGUCCCUGCUGUUCCGUGGGGCAAGCCACCUACAGAACAUUCGGCUAUACAACGAAGCAUUACAUUCCCAAAACAACCACCCAAUCGAUGUACGAUGACGUUUGGCAGUAUUGCGAUCAAGGCCGCCGAUUCCGACUCAAUGACUACGGUGAGUUUACGCCGUAUCGUUCCACAUACCAAACUGAUUACAGUGAACACGCUUGUGCAUGAUGAGAGUUCUUGUUCUAAAUACAGAGCAAUCAACGGAACAGUGACCGCUUGAAGGACAAAAUUUCUUUUCGUUAUUGCAUUGUUAAUAAUGUUUUUCUUCUUCUGACCAUAGUUUGUUGGCGUACUAAGGCUUUAGUCUCUGCUUAUGGAUGAAUUUAUCGUGAAUUUUCUAAAUUUCGAAUAAAGCUGAAUUGAGACGAGCUGUGCUACCGACAAUGAUAAAAAGAGUUUUUCUUUGAUAGGAUAGAAUAAGCGAUUCCAUUUUUCAGGUCAGUCGAAAUGAA
Malaya genurostris is the source of this 1182-nucleotide long non-coding RNA. RefSeq lists it as uncharacterized. The record is from RefSeq and is a predicted model, not a curated record. Lineage: Eukaryota; Metazoa; Arthropoda; Insecta; Diptera; Culicidae. The transcript has 3 exons.